CUGCUGUGUCGACAACAACUGGUGAACCCACUACAACUAUCAUUGAGUCUUCAUCAACAACUGGUGAACCCACUACAACCAUCACUGGUGUUUCUACAAUAACUAAUGAACCUUCUACAACCAUCACUGGUGUGUCAACAACAACUGGUGAACCCACUACAACCAUCACUGGUGUGUCAACAACUGGUGAACCCACAACAACAGUCACUGCUGUGUCGACAGCAACUGGUGAACCCACUACAUCCAUCACAGUUUCAUCAACAACAACUGAUGAACCCACUACAACCAUCACUGCUGUGUCGACAACAACUGGUGAACCCACUACAACUAUAACUGAGUCAUCAUCAACAACUGGUGAACCCACUACAACUAUAACUGAGUCUUCAUCAACAACUGGUGAACCCACUACAACCAUCACUGGUGUGUCAACAACAACUGGUGAACCCACUACAACCAUCACUGGUGUGUCAACAACAACUGGUGAACCGACUCCAACUAUAACUGAGUCAUCGUCAACAACUGGUGAACCCACUACAACCAUCACUGAGUCAACAAAAACAACUGGUCAACAAACUAGAUCAGUCACUGGUGCAUCGACAACAAUUGGUGAACCCACUACGACCAUCACUGAGUCAACAAAAAAUACUGUUCAACCCACAUCAACAGUCAAAGCUGUGUCGACAAUAACUGGUGAACCCACCACGACAAUCACUGGUGUUUCUACAACAACUAAUGAACCUUCUACAACCAUCACUGGUGUGUCACCAACAACUGGUGAACCCACUACAACUAUCCUUGAGUCUUCAUCAACAACUGGUGAACCCACUACAACCAUCACUGAGUCAACAAAAACAACUGGUGAACCCACUACAACUGUUACUGGGGCAUCGACAACAACUGGUGAACCCACUACAUCCAUCACGGUUUCAUCAACAACAACUGGUGAACCCACUACAACCAUCACUGAGUCAACAAAAAAUACUGUUCAACCCACAUCAACAGUCAAAGCUGUGUCGACAACAGCUGGUGAACCCACUACGACAAUAACUGGUGUUUCUACAACAACUAAUGAACCUUCUACAACCAUCACUGGUGUGUCAACAACAACUGGUGAACCCACUACAACUAUCAUUGAGUCUUCAUCAACAACUGUUGAACCCACUACAACCAUCACUGCUGUGUCUACAACAACUGGUGAACCCACUACAACUAUCAUUGAGUCUUCAUCAACAACUGGUGAACCCACUACAACCAUCACUGAGUCAACAAAAACAACUGGUGAACCCACAACAACAGUCACUGCUGUGUCGACAACAACUGUUGAACCCACUACAACUGUUACUGGGGCAUCGACAACAACUGGUGAACCCACUACAUCCAUCACGGUUUCAUCAACAACAACUGGUGAACCCACUACAACCAUCACUGAGUCAACAAAAACAACUGGUGAACCCACUUCAACAGUCACUGCUGUGUCGACAGCAACUGGUGAACCCACUACAUCCAUCACAGUUUCAUCAACAACUGAUGAACCCACUACAAGCAUCACUGAGUCAACAAAAAAUACUGUUCAACCCACAUCAACAGUCAAAGCUGUGUCGACAAUAACUGGUGAACCCACCACGACAAUCACUGGUGUUUCUACAACAACUAAUGAACCUUCUACAACCAUCACUGGUGUGUCAACCACAACUGGUGAACCCACUACAACUAUCAUUGAGUCUUCAUCAACAACUGGUGAACCCACUACAACCAUCACUGAGUCAACAAAAACAACUGGUGAACCCACAACAACAGUGACUGCUGUGUCGACAACAACUGGUGAACCCACUACAACCAUCACUGCUUCAACAAAAACAACUGUUGAACCCACUACAACUGUUACUGGGGCAUCGACAACAACUGGUGAACUCACUACAUCCCCCAUCACGGUUUCAUCAACAACAACUGAUGAACCCACUACAACCAUCACUGAGUCAACAAAAACAACUGGUCAACCCACAUCAACAGUCAAAGCUGUGUCGACAACAACUGGUGAACCCACUACAACUGUUACUGGGGCAUCGACAACAACUGGUGAACCCACUACAUCCAUCACGGUUUCAUCAACAACAACUGAUGAACCCACUACAACCAUCACUGAGUCAACCAAAACAACUGGUGAACCCACUUCAACAGUCACUGCUGUGUCGACAACAACUGAUGAACCCACUACAAGCAUCACUGAGUCAACAAAAACAACUGUUCAACCCACAUCAACAGUCAAAGCUGUGUCGACAACAACUGGUGAACCCACUACAACUGUUACUGGGGCAUCGACAACAACUGGUGAACCCACUACAUCCAUCACGGUUUCAUCAACAACAACUGAUGAACCCACUACAACCAUCACUGAGUCAACCAAAACAACUGGUGAACCCACUUCAACAGUCACUGCUGUGUCGACAACAACUGGUGAACCCACUACAAGCAUCACUGAGUCAACAAAAACAACUGUUCAACCCACAUCAACAGUCAAAGCUGUGUUGACAACAACUGGUGAACCCACCAUGACAAUAACUGGUGUUUCUACAACAACUAAUGAACCUUCUACAACCAUCACUGGUGUGUCAACAACAACUGGUGAACCCACUACAACUAUCAUUGAGUCUUCAUCAACAACUGGUGAACCCACUACAACCAUCACUGUGUCAACAACAACUGGUGAACCCACUACAACUGUUACUGGUGUGUCAAAAACAACUGGUGAACCCACUACAACUGUUACUGGUGUGUCAAAAACAACUGGUGAACCCACUACAACCAUCACUGAGUCAACCAAAACAACUGGUGAACCCACUACAACCAUCACUGCUGUGUCGACAACAACUGGUGAACCCACUACAACCGUCACAGUUUCAUCAACAACAACUGAUGAACCCACUACAAGCAUCACUGAGUCAACAAAAAAUACUGUUCAACCCACAUCAACAGUCAAGGUUGUAUCGACAACAACUGGUGAACCCACUACGACAAUCACUGGUGUUUCUACAAUAACUAAUGGACCUUCUACAACCAUCACUGGUUUGUCAACAACAACUGGUGAACCCACUACAACCAUCACUGGUGUGUCAACAACUGGUGAACCCACAACAACAGUCACUGCUGUGUCGACAACAACUGGUGAACCCACUACAACCAUCACUGGU
Molecule: long non-coding RNA, 3188 nt
Organism: Oncorhynchus tshawytscha (Chinook salmon)
Lineage: Eukaryota; Metazoa; Chordata; Actinopteri; Salmoniformes; Salmonidae
Source: Ensembl